RNAcentral lists this ribosomal RNA (574 nucleotides) under uncultured bacterium. RNAcentral's name for it is "bacterial SSU rRNA". It matches the Rfam family "Bacterial small subunit ribosomal RNA", at positions 338 to 916 of the family's 1533-position model. The record is from RNAcentral.
CCUACGGGAGGCAGCAGUAGGGAAUAUUGGGCAAUGGGCGGAAGCCUGACCCAGCCACGCCGCGUGCAGGAAGACGGCCCUCUGGGUUGUAAACUGCUUUUGACUGGGAAGAAAGAAGCCCAUGCGUGGGAAGUUGACGGUACCAGUCGAAUAAGCCACGGCUAACUACGUGCCAGCAGCCGCGGUAAUACGUAGGUGGCAAGCGUUAUCCGGAUUUAUUGGGUUUAAAGGGUGCGUAGGCGGUUUAAUAAGUCAGUGGUUAAAGGUAGCAGCUUAACUGUUUUACAUGCCACUGAUACUGUUGAACUUGAGUUGACAGAAGGCAGAUAGAAUUUCUGGUGUAGCGGUGAAAUGCUUAGAUACCAGAAGGAAUACCGAUUGCGAAGGCAGUCUGCUGCAGUCACACUGACGCUGAGGCACGAAAGUGCGGGGAUCAAACAGGAUUAGAUACCCUGGUAGUCCGCACAGUAAACGAUGAUUACUAGAUGUUGGCUAUGCCAGUGUCCAAGGGAAACCGACAAGUAAUCCACCUGGGGAGUACGCCGGCAACGGUGAAACUCAAAGGAAUUGACGG